This is a small nuclear RNA of Heterocephalus glaber (naked mole-rat), 132 nucleotides long. Its record names the gene U2. It matches the Rfam family "U2 spliceosomal RNA". Rfam says of the family: U2 is a small nuclear RNA (snRNA) component of the spliceosome (involved in pre-mRNA splicing). Complementary binding between U2 snRNA (in an area lying towards the 5' end but 3' to hairpin I) and the branchpoint sequence (BPS) of the intron results the bulging out of an unpaired adenosine, on the BPS, which initiates a nucleophilic attack at the intronic 5' splice site, thus starting the first of two transesterification reactions that mediate splicing. The record is from Ensembl. Lineage: Eukaryota; Metazoa; Chordata; Mammalia; Rodentia; Bathyergidae.
AUUGCUUCUCGGCCUUUUGGCUAAGAUCAAGUGUAAAAAUGUAUUGAAAUUACAUCUCAAAUAAAUUUCAAAUGAACUAAAAAUGUAAACUUGUACUCAGGUGUAAGAAAAUCUCUGACUAUAAGACCACCA